AUGGAAAGUGUGAAAAAGUGGUUCAUGUCUUCUCAAGCUUUUCUAAGCAUGCUCUUAGUGCAAGUUUUUGCAACUGGAAUGCAACUUUUGUCCAGGAUCAUUUUGGUUCAAGGAAGUUAUAUUUUUGCAAUUACUACUUAUCGCUAUAUUGUAGCUGCUAUUUGCGUUGCACCAUUUGCACUCUAUCUUGAAAGAGGACUAGUAAAGAAGUUCAAUUGGAGAGUUUGGUUAUGGCUUUUCAUUAAUGCAAUGAUUGGGUAA
Molecule: non-coding RNA, 261 nt
Organism: Vicia faba (fava bean)
Lineage: Eukaryota; Viridiplantae; Streptophyta; Magnoliopsida; Fabales; Fabaceae
Source: the annotation of a GenBank genome assembly